This 472-nucleotide ribosomal RNA is filed under the name uncultured bacterium. RNAcentral describes it as "bacterial SSU rRNA". It matches the Rfam family "Bacterial small subunit ribosomal RNA", at positions 72 to 518 of the family's 1533-position model. The record is from RNAcentral.
UAUUGAUUUGAAGAGAACGAGAACUGUUCAAGGACAUGAUGAAGAUUAUAACAAUGGCUUAGUGGCGGACUGGUGAGUAAUACGUAAGCAACCUGCCUAUUAGAGGGGAACAACAGUUAGAAAUGACUGCUAAUACCGCAUAUGCCAUAGUAACCACAUGGUUACAGUGGGAAAGGAGUAAUCCGCUAAUAGAUGGGCUUACGGCUGAUUAGCUAGUUGGUGGGGUAACGGCCUACCCAAGGCGACGAUCAGUAGCCGGACUGAGAGGUUCAACGGCCACAUUGGGACUGAGAUACGGCCCAGACUCCUACGGGAGGCAGCAGUCGGGAAUUUUGCGCAAUGGAGGAAACUUCCUGACGCAGUGACGCCGCGUGCAGGAAGAAGGUUUUCGGAUUGUAAACUGCUUUAGACAGGGAAGAAAAAGGACAGUACCUGUAGAAUAAGCUCCGGCUAACUACGUGCCAGCCGCCGC